RNAcentral lists this ribosomal RNA (484 nucleotides) under uncultured bacterium. Its description in RNAcentral is "bacterial SSU rRNA". It matches the Rfam family "Bacterial small subunit ribosomal RNA", at positions 30 to 507 of the family's 1533-position model. The record is from RNAcentral.
AUUGAACGCUGGCGGCAUGCCUUACACAUGCAAGUCGAACGGCAGCACGGGAGCAAUCCUGGUGGCGAGUGGCGAACGGGUGAGUAAUAUAUCGGAACGUGCCCGGUCGUGGGGGAUAACGUAGCGAAAGCUACGCUAAUACCGCAUACGAUCUAUGGAUGAAAGCGGGGGAUCGCAAGACCUCGCGCGAUUGGAGCGGCCGAUAUCAGAUUAGGUAGUUGGUGAGGUAAAGGCUCACCAAGCCGACGAUCUGUAGCUGGUCUGAGGGGACGACCAGCCACACUGGGACUGAGACACGGCCCAGACUCCUACGGGAGGCAGCAGUGGGGAAUUUUGGACAAUGGGCGCAAGCCUGAUCCAGCAAUGCCGCGUGCAGGAUGAAGGCCUUCGGGUUGUAAACUGCUUUUGUACGGAACGAAACGGUGAGCUCUAAUACAGUUUGCUAAUGACGGUACCGUAAGAAUAAGCACCGGCUAACUACGUG